AUUCCAGGCUGUGGAUCCGGUCGUGGGAAGCAGGUAGGAAACCAUGAUUCUCGGGGUUAAAUGAAGAAAUAUAUUUAGUGCUCACAGAAAUUUAGAAAUUUAGAAAGCCAAAUAUUGGGUUAGCCGCCAGGAAUGGAGAGGGAAAAAACCCAAAGCAAACAGCAGAGGAAAGAAAUUCCUACCAGACAAGGUCCUUAUUCAUUCUCCCAACCCCAGGUGCAGGGGCCUGCAGGGGAGAGACCCGCUGAACUUAAGACUCUGAUCAAACCCCAGACUCGGACCCUGCGCUGCCCAUGGGGCCGACCGUCAAUAUCUGGAUUGGCAAUGGCACCCUAGAGCUCACUAAGUUGACCCUAAAGCCCUUUGGGAGCCAAGGGUGGGGGUGGGGAAGGAAUAACAAAGUAGAAAGUUCCUGGAUUGAGGUGGAAAAAUCAGUUUAACCUCCCUGGGCCUCAUCUACGGAAUGUAAGGGUUGGAUUAUGAUUUCACAGGUCAUAGCAUCCUACUAUUGUUUCUGCCUAAAAUAAGCAGCAAUAAGAAUGAGUGUGAGGAAGACCACAGCAGCAGGACCCACCUGUUUCUGAGGCCUAGGGAGAUGCAGUGAUAGAUUUCAGCUUAUUCCUCAUUCUCAGGUUUCUGUACCUUGACCCUCCAUAGAGUGAACUUCUAGGUUCUGAGCUGACUCCUUGGAAACCCUAGACUCCAGGGACGCGCUUCUAGAACCUGCUCAGAUUGCUACUCAGUUAACAGCCUGGCCCAGGAGGAUUGCAACACCCAGCCUGGCUCCCAGGGCCGCACACAUACAGAGCUGAACUUGUAUCGCCGUGUAGAUGAAGACAAACACCUUUAGGAGAUGGCAGAGAAACAAAAUGGGAAACCCUCAGGUCUCCAAAUGACUACACCAAGCAGAAUUGCCCCACCAGCCUGCACCAUUCAUUUCUAGACUAUGAGCAAGAAGUACACUUCCAUCUUAUUUAAACAACCAUAUUUGGGGUUUUUGUUGUUGUUAUUGUUGUUGUUAUAGGAGCUUAGCUUUUACUCUAAGAAAUACAGCUACUCAACUCACUUCAUUAGGAUCUUAACUAUAAUAUCAAAACCUCCUAAGCACAGAAUAAAAAAUACAGUAGAGCAAUAUCAUUUAUGAUCAUAGAUGCAGAGCUUCCAAAUGAAAUACUAGCAUAUUCAAGGAAAGAUAUAUAUACCAUGACCUAGUUGUGUUUAAUUUCUGGAAUUCAAAAAUGGAAUGUUUGACAUAAGAAAAUCUAUUAGGCCGGGCGCGGUGGCUCACGCCUGUAAUCCCAGCACUUUGGGAGGCCGAGGCAGGCAGAUCACGAGGUCAGGAGAUCGAGAUCAUCCUGGCUAAUACGGUGAAACCCCGUUUCUACUAAAAAAUACAAAAAAAAAAUAUUAGCUGGGAGUGGUGGCGGGCGCCUGUAGUCCCAGCUACUUGGGAGGCUGAGGCAGGAGAAUGGCGUGAACCCGGGAGGCAGAGCUUACAGUGAGCUGAGAUCGUGCCACUGCACUCCAGCCUGGGUGACAGAGCGAGACUCUGUCUCAAAAAAAAAAAAAAAAAGAAAAAAGAAAACAGUUUGGCAGUUCCUCAAAAAGUUAAACAUAGGAUGUUUGAAAAUUUAAACGUAAUAUGACCUAGCAAUUCAACCCCAGGUAUACAACCAAGAGAAUUGAAAACAGGUGUUCAAACAAAAACUUGUACAGGAUUGCUCAUAGCAGCAUUAUUUAUAAUAGCCAAAAGGAAGAAACUACUCAAAUGUCCAUCAGCUGAUGAAUGGAUAAACAAAAUAUGGUGUAUUUCUACAAUGGACUAUUAUUCAAUCAUAAAAAAUGAAAUGCUGAUAAAUGCCAAAAUUGACGAACUUUUAAAACAUGCUAAGUGGCUGGGUGGGGUGGCUCUAGUCCGUAAUCCCGGCAUGUUAAGAGGCCGAGGUGGGCGGGUCACUUGAGCCUGGGAGGUCGAGGCUGCAGAGAGCUGAGAUCGCGCUACUGCACUCUAGCCUGGGUGACAGAGCAGACCCUGUCUCAGAAAGAAAAGAAAAAACAGAAAAGAGAAAGAAGACAGGAGAGGAGAGAAGGGGAGGGGAGGGGAGGGGAAUGGAGAGGGGGAGGGGAGGGGAGGGGAAGGGGGAGGGAAGGGGAGGGGAGGGGAACAUCCUGGCCGGGUGCAGUGGCUCACGCCUGUAAUCCUAGCACUUUGGGAGGCCAAGGUGGGCGGAUUGCCUGAGCUCAGGAGUUCGAGACCAGCCUGGGCAACACGGUGAAACCCCGUCUCUACUAAAAUACAAAAAAAUUAGUUGGGCGUGGCGAUGUAUACCUGUAGUCCCAGCUACUCAGGAUGCUGAGGCAGAAGAAUUGCUUGAACCCAGGAGGUUGAGGUUGCAGUGACGCGAGAUUGCACCACUGCACUCCAGCCUGGGUGACAGAGUGAGACUCUCUCCCAAAAAAAAAAAAAGAAAAGAAAAGAAAAGAACAUGCUAAGUGAAAGAAGCCAGAGAAAAAAAGGCAACACAUUGUAUUAUUCCAUUUAAUGAAAUAUCCAGGAUAAACAAAUCCAUAGAAAUGAAGAGCAGCUGAGGGGUUGCUGGGGCUAGGGACGGGGGGGAUAUCAGGAAUGACUGCUUCAUGGGUACAGAGUUUUCAGGUGAUGAAAUCUUCUAGAAUUAGAUAAUAGUGAUGGUUGCACAACAUUAUGAAAAUACCAAAAACCACUGAACUGUACACUUUAAAAUUGUUAAAAUGGUGAAUUUUAUAUUAUGUGACAAUUUUGUAAAAGAAUUCUAUAUCCAAUGAAAAUAUUCUUCAAGAAUGAGAGGGAAAUAAAGGCGUUCUCAAGUGAAAAAUCAAGAGAAUUUGUCAUUAGUAGACUUGUUGUAAAAUAAAUACUAAAGAAAGUUCUUCAAACGGAAGAAAGAGGAUACCUGAAAGAAAUUUAGAACAUCAAGAAUGAAGACAGAGAAACAAAAAUGGUAAAAAUCUGGUUAAAUAUAAUAGACUAUUUUUAUCUUAAAUUCUUUAUAAUAUGUAUAUGUUGGGGCUCAGAAAACAACACCUCAAAAGUAUGGCGCUUUGGUAUGCUGAACACUUUGAACUAAAAUAGAAAGGACUUAGAAGCUACCUCAGAAUAAGGCCUUUCUGGCCUCAUCUGUUUCUAUCGCCUAGAGACUUCUAGAGACUUCUGGAGUCUCUAUCCCCCUAGAGACUUCCCCUAGAAUUUCCUUAUCUGACUAAGGAAACUUCUUUCCAAAAGAAAUGCAAUUGUCUUAAGAUCCCCUUCCUAGGAAUCUCAUCAAAUAAUCAGAAAAGAUUAACCACCAGAGAAGAAUGGAGACUAAAGUCAGAUGACUCUUCAUCUAGUCCUCUGAGGCAGUGCCAAGAGAUAACCUGGGAGGCUUUAUCUACCAGGUUAAGUUUCACCCCUCACCUUCCGGUAACUUGCUGGCGUCGUUUAGUUUCCUAGGAGAAUCAUUUACAAGAUAAUGUCUGAGCCUCCUGGGCCCAUUCAUUUCCCCUAAAAAUCAUUAACAACCCCUGCAUUUUCCCCAUCUCCCUCUUCCCUAUGAAGCAGAUAUAUAAGCCUCAAUCAUCUGGCCCUUUGGGUCUCAUAUUUAAUAUUGUACCCAUGUUUUUGUAUGUUAAUAAAUUUAUAUGCCUUUUUCUCCUAUUAAUCUGUGUAUUGUCAGUCAUUUUAGCA
Molecule: long non-coding RNA, 3706 nt
Filed under: Homo sapiens (human)
Lineage: Eukaryota; Metazoa; Chordata; Mammalia; Primates; Hominidae
Description: HSALNT0346267
Source: RNAcentral